UGGGGAAUAUUGGACAAUGGGGGCAACCCUGAUCCAGCCAUGCCGCGUGUGUGAAGAAGGCCAUAUGGUUGUAAAGCAAUUUAAGCAGUGAAGAAGACUCCAUGGUUAAUACCCAUGGACGAUGACAUUAGCUGCAGAAUAAGCACCGGCUAACUCUGUGCCAGCAGCCGCGGUAAUACAGAGGGUGCAAGCGUUAAUCGGAAUUACUGGGCGUAAAGCGAGCGUAGGUGGCUUGAUAAGUCAGAUGUGAAAGCCCCGGGCUUAACCUGGGAACGGCAUCUUAUACUGUUAGGCUAGAGUAGGUGAGAGGAAGGUAGAAUUCCAGGUGUAGCGGUGAAAUGCGUAGAGAUCUGGAGGAAUACCGAUGGCGAAGGCAGCCUUCUGGCAUCAUACUGACACUGAGGUUCGAAAGCGUGGGUAGCAAACA
RNAcentral lists this ribosomal RNA (427 nucleotides) under uncultured bacterium. Its description in RNAcentral is "partial 16S ribosomal RNA". It matches the Rfam family "Bacterial small subunit ribosomal RNA", at positions 355 to 774 of the family's 1533-position model. The record is from RNAcentral.